RNAcentral lists this ribosomal RNA (450 nucleotides) under uncultured bacterium. Its description in RNAcentral is "partial 16S ribosomal RNA". It matches the Rfam family "Bacterial small subunit ribosomal RNA", at positions 354 to 796 of the family's 1533-position model. The record is from RNAcentral.
GUGGGGAAUCUUAGACAAUGGGGGCAACCCUGAUCCAGCAAUGCCGCGUGCAGGAAGAAGGCCUUCGGGUUGUAAACUGCUUUUGUACGGAACGAAACGGUCUGGGUUAAUACCCUGGGCUAAUGACGGUACCGUAAGAAUAAGCACCGGCUAACUACGUGCCAGCAGCCGCGGUAAUACGUAGGGUGCGAGCGUUAAUCGGAAUUACUGGGCGUAAAGCGUGCGCAGGCGGUUUUGUAAGACAGGCGUGAAAUCCCCGGGCUCAACCUGGGAAUGGCGCUUGUGACUGCAAAGCUGGAGUGCGGCAGAGGGGGAUGGAAUUCCGCGUGUAGCAGUGAAAUGCGUAGAUAUGCGGAGGAACACCGAUGGCGAAGGCAAUCCCCUGGGCCUGCACUGACGCUCAUGCACGAAAGCGUGGGGAGCAAACAGGAUUAGAAACCCCGGUAGUCC